GGGUUGGCUUAAUAGCCGUUGGAUUCAUCGCGUGGUUUAAGUUCAAUGGUCUCCUUAUGUUACAACCGGGUUAUAAUUUCGCCUCCAACUUAGAACCGGGUGGGUGAAACCCAAAUUAAUAAGAGCUGUACCCACGAAGUUAAACUUUGAACACCGAAACCCAUACCGCCAAGAACAAAAGCUAAACUGGUUUGGAAUCGUUGUGGGAAUUAACCAAGGUUGACGCUACCUGAAAAUCAGUUAGUUAGAGUAGAAGGGGCGAGGCCGUAUUGUUCCUCGGAACAAAGUCUCGCGAUUCUUCCAUUUCAGAAGUGACGUGUGUGAAUAUUCCCCAAGUUUGAAGUGGAAUCAUUAUUUGGUAAUCUGUCAAUGGCGUAUAGAGGGCGUGGACGUGGUGGAUUUGGAGGAGGUGGUGGCGGUUUUGGCUAUGCCAUUCAAGUUCCCUUUGAGGUUUUUCCUGAAGUUGAUUUGCCUAAUGUCAAAGGUAUAUUUGAUCCAGAGAAGAAGGUAAACAAGGGUCUGAGUGAGGAAGAAAACUUAGUCAAUCAAAGUCUCAAGUUUCAAAAAAUUUGGAAAGGCUCUCUUUUCUAUCUGGAGCAGACCUCUUCAAAGGGCUAGCAUGAUCUACUUUAAAACUCGUUGUUUAUGUUUUUUUUCUAUCAUUCAGUCAUGGAAUUGAGCAAUCUGUGAAGCAUGUUUGAUUUGAUUUUCCCUUCCUUUUCUGGCUAAGAUAUUAAUCAUGGUCGGUUGUGGAGAGCAUUCAUUCUUUUGGUAUGCUUGAAAUCAUGUUUGUUUGUUUUUUUGUAAGAAGACUAUCAACCUUGCAGUGAUGCUUCUAUGCUGUCUGCAGGUAAAGUUCUGUUGUGAAAGUCAAUAUGAUUCAUAUAUGUUGAUCCCCUUAAAAUUUUUACGGUUGAAGAUAAAAGUACAUAUUUACUGUGAAUCUGAAAUUGAUCUCACCAAGAUUUUAUAGUUAGAUGUAAGGAGAAGUUCAAACAUCCCUCCCAAAACCAACACCCAAUCUUAUGUUUGUGAACAUUAUGCAAAGUGGCAAACUAUCAUAAAAAGUUCGAUAUGAGUUUCUAAGGUGAAUUGUUCUAUAGUUUUUUCUGUCAGUUAAUUAUAUUAUAUUAUAUUGGUCCAUACUGGCAUUUUAUUUUAAUACCAUAUUGCUUUUAUUCUCCUUGUAAAUCAUUUAUUUGGCUUCUUUUGAAUUUAUACCAGAUUAUGUUGUGAUAGUAUUACACUUCUUGAACUUGUGGUUUCAGAGAGGCAAAACACAGAAGUAGAAAGAUAUUCUGACAGGUUGAAGCCAAAAACCACCAUAAGAAGCGGUCCUUUUUUUGUUAUAUUGGAGCUCAAGGGAUUUCCCCAAGAACUGACUGGAGGUUCAAGGGCACAACAACCAGGCCGAAAGAGAGUUCGAUGGAAUCCUGACUCAGU
Long non-coding RNA from Prunus persica (peach), 1443 nucleotides. RefSeq lists it as uncharacterized. The transcript is spliced from 4 exons. NCBI's taxonomy places the organism in Eukaryota, Viridiplantae, Streptophyta, Magnoliopsida, Rosales, Rosaceae. The record is from RefSeq and is a predicted model, not a curated record.